CUUGCCCAGGGUCACAAGGGGUCAGCUGCAGGGAACCAACCCCAUUAUGACCAUGUGCCCUGGCUGACAGGUACCAUCCCACUGAAUCCUCACACGUGCCCUGAGAGUGGGCAUUCUGAGCUGGCUGAGCAGGGAGGAAAGGCAGGCUCCGAGAGGCUAAGAACCUGGCUGGAGAUCACCUAGCCACUACAGUGUAUUUCCAGUGCCUAAAACAGUGGCUAGCACAGAGCAGGUACUCAAUCUUUGUGGAAGGAAGGAAGGAAUGAGUGGCUGGCCCUGAGAGACAUUAGCUACUUUAACCCUCAUAACAACCCCUGCAAGGUGGGCACGCAAAUAUUGGGUGAAUGAAUAAGCAAAGACAGCAGGAAACAAGUGGAUUCAGAAGAAAAAAGACCAGGAGGCUCACAAAUAAACCCAUUUAAUCCUAAAAUCAACCUGCACAGAAGGUGUCAUUAUGCCUACACCGCUGGGAAGCCACAAAGUAGACCCAGGACUGUGCAACUCCGAGAGGAAAAGAGAAAAUGCUGCAGGUAAGCGGAGAAGCAGGUGAGCCCGACACGGAGGGCAAAGGCAAGCUGCCUCUGGGGCCCAGGGCACUGAACACCAUCUCCUCAAAGGCUGACAUAACUGAGAAGGGUCCACAUUUUCCACCAAGUGGAGCCCGUGUAGGGUCGGUGCUAUCUCCAUGCCCCUGACACACCAUGGCACCUGCGUUCACCCAGAAGGUACCUGCCCACAGCAUGCAUCCAUCAUUGAGAGUGCGCAAAACCAAGUUCUAAUUUCCAGGCACUAAUACCAUAGGACACAAACAUAAACCACCCUCCAGGAGGACACCUGACAUCCCUCUCCUUUCUGGGUAGUCUGAAGUGAGAAGGUUGAAAAUAGUGCAGAUGUCCUUUCUUAGAGCAGCCCCGCCAUCCAUUCAUUCACUCUUUCAUUCAUUUGUUCAGCCAACAUGUGCUCACUGGGCCUGGGGAAGCCCAGGAUGAAAUGAGACAAACCCUCUGCCCUCUGGCCACGGUGUGCUGGUGCCUGCGCUUUAGGCGGGUACUAAAAGACAAGCAAAUAUUAAAGAUACUCGCUUCCAAAACAAAUAAGGCCACGUGGAGCUGUGCACUGGAAUGGGAUUCUGGAUGCAAUUUUAUUUGAUUGGGUACAAGAACCAAUCCAGUUAAAGGGGUCAUGAACCAACUCCAGGCACCAGGCUCCUACUCAGAGGCUGCCUCAGACCCCCUUCUGGCCCAGGCACCAACCCCUCACCCACCCAACUCCAUCUCCCGACAUUCUUCAACCACAUUCCCAUCUCGCUCCACAAUAUUCUCCCUCCAGGUCCCCCUGACUCUAUUUCUCCUCUAUUCCCAACCCUGACCUCUCUAGGUCGGCAGCCUUGAUGCUACUUCUCCGAACGCCAGGACGCACAUCCCAGCCUGCUUUCUACCACCACCCCACACACCUCGAGUCUGCGCUUCCACCCAGAACCCCUUAAACACCAUAUGUUUACAAACCAGAUUCCCCAGGGGUCUAUGUACAACACCCCAUUCUCAAGACCCCAUAAACACAUCCUGAUUCCCUGAGCACACCAUACACACACUGUGGACUUCACCCAUGUCCUGAGGGACCCCCUCACCCCAUCACCUCCAACUUCUUGGAAGCCCCAGGCCGGCCCCUGACCUCCUGUGGUCCCAGUGGAGCAGCGGACUCGCUGAGACCCCCGGACAC
This 1719-nucleotide long non-coding RNA is filed under the name Homo sapiens (human). RNAcentral's name for it is "HSALNT0378686". Lineage: Eukaryota; Metazoa; Chordata; Mammalia; Primates; Hominidae. The record is from RNAcentral.